RNAcentral lists this ribosomal RNA (253 nucleotides) under uncultured bacterium. RNAcentral describes it as "partial 16S ribosomal RNA". It matches the Rfam family "Bacterial small subunit ribosomal RNA", at positions 524 to 776 of the family's 1533-position model. The record is from RNAcentral.
UACAUAGGGACCGAGCGUUGUCCGGAAUUAUUGGGCGUAAAGAGCGUGUAGGCGGCCAGUCAGGUCCGUUGUGAAAACUCGAGGCUCAACCUCGAGACGCCGAUGGAAACCGACUGGCUAGAGUCCGGAAGAGGAGAGUGGAAUUCCCGGUGUAGCGGUGAAAUGCGCAGAUAUCGGGAAGAACACCCGUGGCUAAGGCGGCUCUCUAGUACGGUACUGACGCUGAGACGCGAAAGCGUGGGGAGCGAACAGG